This 431-nucleotide ribosomal RNA is filed under the name uncultured bacterium. RNAcentral describes it as "partial 16S ribosomal RNA". It matches the Rfam family "Bacterial small subunit ribosomal RNA", at positions 29 to 507 of the family's 1533-position model. The record is from RNAcentral.
AACGAACGCUGGCGGCAGGCCUAACACAUGCAAGUCGAGCGCCCUUUUGGGGGAGCGGCGGACGGGUGAGUAACGCGUGGGAAUAUGCCCUUCUCUACGGAAUAGCCUCGGGAAACUGAGAGUAAUACCGUAUACGCCCUGUGGGGGAAAGAUUUAUCGGGGAAGGAUUAGCCCGCGUUGGAUUAGGUAGUUGGUGGGGUAAUGGCCUACCAAGCCGACGAUCCAUAGCUGGUUUGAGAGGAUGAUCAGCCACACUGGGACUGAGACACGGCCCAGACUCCUACGGGAGGCAGCAGUGGGGAAUCUUAGACAAUGGGGGCAACCCUGAUCUAGCCAUGCCGCGUGAGUGAUGAAGGCCUUAGGGUUGUAAAGCUCUUUCAGCUGGGAAGAUAAUGACGGUACCAGCAGAAGAAGCCCCGGCUAACUCCGUG